CCUCAGUCAGUGUAAUUGUUGUUCAGUGUAAUUGUUGUAGUUGUUUACCAUAGUAACCAUACAUGCAUAUGCAAUUAGGCAUGUGCGUGGUCUCUUUUGGCGGUAGAAUUAUUAUCAGCUUAGAAUUACUGUUCAUGAACUCAUUAAUCAGAGGUGAAUGGUGGUGCGUGGGUGCAUGGUUGACCACUACUGCACCCUAUUUAUAACCCCUGUGACUUUUAAAUAUUUUUUUGCUUGUUUUUAACAUAUCAUCAAUCAUUUUCAUCUCAUUUGUGACUUCUGUAUAACAUAAAAUGAUAUUAUUCUGUGUAAAUUGAUUUUUGGCUAGUGCAUGAGGUGAAUUAAUCAUUAACCAUGACCCAUGAUCAGAAAGUUUUGAUAGUUUGGAUGGAUGAUAUGCCAUCAUGGCAGUUGAUCGAAGAAGCAGUUGGCCGCUAGCACAGCGCCGGAGUAGUUGGUGGUUGGGAGAGAGGUGUGUGCGUGCGCGGGUGUGCGGGUGCGUAUGUGUGUGUGUGUGUGUGUGUGUGUGUGUGUGUGUGUGUGUGUGUGUGGGGGGGGGGGGGGGUGAUAUAGUUACGAUGAUGCCUUUUUGCCCGGAGAUAAGCAUGAAAGCAUAGAUAAUGAUCCCGAGACCCGGCCGAGUGUAGGAUUUGAAUUCAAAAAGACCUUAGCCGACCGGCCCUGUCCUUAAUAUUAUUAUCAUCUAAGUGUUUGAGGUCUCACUAGCCAGUAUGCAUGUGAUCAGGUGGUGUCUCAUGCAUGCAUUGUGCUAUGUAAACAGUCUAUAAUAUGCAUCACUGUAUUAUGUCUAGACGACGUUGAAACUUGGUCAGAUGUGCAUUCUACAAUAGUAGACAAGCUAUUGUAGAAUUGUAUAGGUUUGUGUGAGCAGAGAGUAUAAGGGGCCUGCUGCCAAGUCUACAGCCGCUGAUGGCGCUAGGCCUGGCCUCCGCACCGGCUAGUGAGACCUGCCGCUGAUUAAUGGCUACGUGUUGUGUUGUUGUGGACGACGAGUGGGUUGAACAGGACUGGUUUCACGGUAGGAUUUUGUCAUGGAAACGAGGAAAUAGACAUUGAGACCAAUGUACUUUCAAGAUUAUUGCAUCAUAAAUGGGACCAGAUUGUCGACUUCUUGCCACACGCCAUGAUAUUGACGAAAUCGUCGUCGUCGUCGAAACGAGCAACCCCGGACCGACGGAAAAGUGCACGUCAUGAUGUUUGUUAGAUUUGUCAAGUCGUGUCCAAGAGAAGAAAGGAAUGCACGACGUCGGUGCUGUCGUGCAGUGGAUCGAUACCAAGCACUACUGAUGACGGUAGAGGAGCAGGAGGAAACCGGGGGUUCCACAGGAGUAGGUGGUAAUUGCAUCACAGAUCACGCAGGAUUCACCUGCGGUGUGCUUGAUAGUGAUACAGCUUGGUAUGAUCAAUAUUAAUAUGUACUAUUAUAACUAAGACCCAUGCAGUAUGUAUGGACGGUACUUCAAAAAAGUACCGUCACAUCGCCGGCUAUAUAGGCAGCUUGUACGUUCGCUGGGCUUUUGGUUUCCUGGGCAAGGACAUUCGUGUUGUGGUUCCAUGCUGUGCAGUCGGUCUGCAAGGUGCAUGAGGGCAUUCGAGUUUCCUCCACAAGUUUGGACCUGAGGAUGAAGCAGAAUUUGUUGGAUUCAUGGAAGCCAUGGAGGAGGAAGCCAUGGAGGUGUCCGUCCGAGCAGAUCAUGUCAAUCAAUGAUCAAUGAAUGUGUUGUGACAAUGACUAUAGCUGUUGUGAUGAUAUAGCCAAGUGAGAAAGACAAUGACAAUCACACACAAUGUUUAUCAAUAAUGUUCUUCUAUUUUUAUUUGUAAUAAAACUUCGAGUGAACAUUGUUAAUUCAAAA
Long non-coding RNA from Lineus longissimus, 1877 nucleotides. RefSeq lists it as uncharacterized. Lineage: Eukaryota; Metazoa; Nemertea; Pilidiophora; Heteronemertea; Lineidae. The record is from RefSeq and is a predicted model, not a curated record. The transcript is spliced from 2 exons.